GAUGAACGCUGGCGGUGUGCCUAAUACAUGCAAGUCGAGCGAACAGACGAGGAGCUUACUCCUCUGACGUUAGCGGCGGACGGGUGAGUAACACGUGGAUAACCUACCUAUAAGACUGGGAUAACUUCGGGAAACCGGAGCUAAUACCGGAUAACAUGUUGAACCGCAUGGUUCAACAGUGAAAGACGGUCUUGCUGUCACUUAUAGAUGGAUCCGCGUCGCAUUAGCUAGUUGGUAAGGUAACGGCUUACCAAGGCAACGAUGCGUAGCCGACCUGAGAGGGUGAUCGGCCACACUGGAACUGAGACACGGUCCAGACUCCUACGGGAGGCAGCAGUAGGGAAUCUGCCGCAAUGGGCGAGAGCCUGACGGAGCAACGCCGCGUGAGUGAAGAAGGUCUUCGGAUCGUAAAACUCUGUUAUUAGGGAAGAACAAAUGUGUAAGUAACUAUGCACGUCUUGACGGUACCUAAUCAGAAAGCCACGGCUAACUACGUG
RNAcentral lists this ribosomal RNA (497 nucleotides) under uncultured bacterium. Its description in RNAcentral is "partial 16S ribosomal RNA". It matches the Rfam family "Bacterial small subunit ribosomal RNA", at positions 28 to 507 of the family's 1533-position model. The record is from RNAcentral.